CCUACGGGUGGCAGCAGUCGAGAAUCAUUCACAAUGGGGGAAACCCUGAUGGUGCGACGCCGCGUGGGGGAAUGAAGGUCUUCGGAUUGUAAACCCCUGUCAUGUGGGAGCAAAUUAAAAAGAUAGUACCACAAGAGGAAGAGACGGCUAACUCUGUGCCAGCAGCCGCGGUAAUACAGAGGUCUCAAGCGUUGUUCGGAAUCACUGGGCGUAAAGCGUGCGUAGGCUGUUUCGUAAGUCGUGUGUGAAAGGCGCGGGCUCAACCCGCGGACGGCACAUGAUACUGGGAGACUAGAGUAAGGGAGAGGGAACCGGAAUUCUCGGUGUAGCAGUGAAAUGCGUAGAUAUCGAGAGGAACACUCGUGGCGAAGGCGGGUUCCUGGACAUUAACUGACGCUGAGGCACGAAGGCCAGGGGAGCGAAAGGGAUUAGAUACCCUAGUAGUC
RNAcentral lists this ribosomal RNA (446 nucleotides) under uncultured bacterium. Its description in RNAcentral is "partial 16S ribosomal RNA". It matches the Rfam family "Bacterial small subunit ribosomal RNA", at positions 338 to 795 of the family's 1533-position model. The record is from RNAcentral.